UCGGCAACCGCGAGUGCCAAACCUGCGCGCGCACGUGGUCGACUGGCUGGCUCUCCGCUGUGGCACUCGUGUUUGGCAGAGUAUCGAUUUUUGGCCAGUGUUCACUUGGAUGCUGUUCAGGCCACGAGUGGAAUAUGGUUCUGAGUGUUUAACCCAUUCAUUGUACAGUUUCAAGUUGUGUUAAGUGAGAUCCGACAGAAGCCGUAGAAACAUGACGAAGGACAGACUUGCAGCGCUCAAGGCGGCGCAGAGCGAUGAGGAUGACAUGGGCACAGAUGACGUUGCCGUCAAUGUCGACGGCAAUGUGGGCUACAUGGACGAGUUCUUUAAUGAGGUGGAGGAGAUACGGGAGAUGAUAGAGAAAAUACAGAACAAUGUAGAAGAAGUCAAGAAGAAACACAGCGAAAUCCUCUCCGCGCCGCAGCCUGAUGAAAAGGUGAAGCAGGAGUUAGAUGACAUGAUGACCGACAUCAAGAAGACAGCGAACAGAGUCAGAGCCAAACUUAAAGUGAUUGAGCAAAACAUUGAAUCAGAAGAACAAGUUAGUAAGGCGAGUGCAGAUCUAAGGAUAAAGAAAACUCAACAUUCAACCCUGAGUCGUAAAUUUGUGGAAGUGAUGACAGAGUAUAAUCGCACACAAACGGACUACCGUGAACGAUGCAAGGGCAGGAUACAAAGGCAGCUGGAAAUCACUGGCCGUAACACAACUAGUGAGGAGUUGGAAGACAUGUUAGAGCAAGGGAAUCCAGCUGUCUUCACACAGGGGAUCAUCAUGGAGACACAGCAAGCAAAACAAACCCUAGCAGAUAUUGAAGCUCGUCAUGCGGACAUUAUAAAAUUAGAGAACUCCAUCAGAGAACUGCAUGACAUGUUCAUGGACAUGGCCAUGUUAGUAGAGAGUCAGGGGGAGAUGAUUGAUAGGAUUGAAUAUCACGUAGAUCAGUCCGUCGAAUAUGUCGGCAAAGCUAUGGAGGACACUAAAAAGGCACUUAAGUAUCAAAGCAAAGCACGUAAGAAGAAGAUAAUGAUCAUGGUGUGUGUGUCGGUUGUGUGUGUUGUGCUGAGUCUCAGCGGGGCCUCCUACCUGGGCCUAAUCUAACCCUCUACUGCUUCGUUGUAACUAAAUUAAUAACUCUACUACCCCCUACUGGAAACGAGCCUCCAGUACAUGCUAGAUCUUCAAAGAAAAGGCACGUCUAUCUCUCUCUUCUUCCUGAUAUCCCUGUCUUGUGACCUGUACAUAGUGUAGUCAAGCCUCGAUGGACAGAUGUCAGCUCUCAGCAUCAGCCUCUGCAACACUAUACAAGCACUUCACGAACUUUUACACUCAUUUACAUCUUAUAACAGAGCAUGCAUAUUAUACUCUUUUCAUCAUGUAAUAAUUGAUUGAUUCAUAAUCUGUGUUUAAAUAAUCUCAACAGAAUAUGGGAGAAUAUUGUGAAUAAGCACUGCAUACAAUCUAGUCACUAUAAGUAAAGUUAUGGAGAUAUUUGUGAACUUACAAUACAAGCACUGUACUUAGGUUAGUCAUAGUAUUAUUGGAAUAUUAUCAUGAAAUAUUAGUGUAUUUAGUAUUUUAAGAAAGAUUAUUUUCUUUUUGUAACAAUACAGAAGCAAUAUUACUUUUUUAUGUGAAAAAGAAACUUGGUUGUUGCCUUAAAGGUUACUACUAAUUAUAACUAGGAAAAUAGUCACUAAUAUAUUUUUUUCUGAAAUGGAAGGUUGUGAGCUUUGUAUUGUUAUAUGUUUCUUUUUUUGUGCUGAUUUUAUUGCAAUGUAUUUCUUCUCAUUUGAUAUAUGUUAUGUGUGCAAACAGUGCUCUAAAGUUCUAUAGGAUGAAUAUUAACUUAUAACUAUCAGAAGCCCAGUGAGAGCUCUGGUGCUGAGAGUAUUAAAGAUGUCUCCAGCAUAUACGGUCACCAAAGGCAACGAUGAUUAUUUACUCAACUGAUACUGUAUGUCCCAAAUUCCUUUUGGAUAGUUCGAGCCAGGCAUUUCAUGAUUUUCUGUAGUUCAUAUUAUUUUGUCAAGGAACAUAUGAUACUCCAGUUUCAUGGUCUCAAAUUGUAAUUAGACUUGAUAAAGUAUGUGUAACUUGUAAUAGUGGAUAUUUGCUAGUAUAUCAGUAAUAUAUCAAUCCUUUUUGAAAAAUGAAACUGGCCAAUUGCAUAAUAGUGUCAACAAGUGAGCCUCAUGUUUUCCAAAAUGCCUUUUACAACGACCUUAAAUUGGAUGAAUUUAAGCCUUAGAUUCAGUAGCCUCAUGUCAACUGGUGCUUCAAAAGAUUGGUUAAAGGCUGGGACUUGCAGUAUAUCCGUUUGGAGAAAGGUGUUGCUGGCCGGAUAUGCAAGUGGCUCACCAUAUGAAAGUUUACAGAAGGUAUAGGUAACAUUUCCAAUGUCAGCAUUUUAGAGCCUAUAGUUAAAUGUUAAAAAUGAGAUUAAUGCACCAUCAUCAUCAUUUUAUUCCUGUUUUUUACAUUGUAGAUUACAUUGUAUAAUAUGUACUUAUUGUUUGUAUGAUCUAUUUUUUGGACUGGGCCCUGUUAGUUACUUGUUUGUUAAGAAUGUUAAAGAAACUAACUCCCCAUCUACUUUCCAUGGAAAUGAAGAUUCAACUUAUGUUUCAUUGUAGUCAUUUUUUCUAAAUCUGGGAGACAUACUCUUUUGUUAACAAGUAAAACAACUGCAGACUUGUAAGUGGGAUGAAAUCAAUCAAGAACGUGAUCAUAAGAUAUCUUUGAAAAAUUUAGUAUUAUAUAGAACACUCCAUCAGAUUACAGAACUUUCUGUUGAUGUUUGGAAAUAUGUUCAACAAAAUUCAUUAUUACGAUAAUGGAAUUGAGUUGUGAUCAGGUAGCCUUUUUCCCAUAGGGUAUACCAUAGGUCAGGUCUCCUAGAAAUUCAGUCUUUCUUGAGAUUAAGCUUUGAUUUUAUGUGUAUAUAUACAUA
RNAcentral lists this unclassified non-coding RNA (2951 nucleotides) under Penaeus japonicus. RNAcentral's name for it is "syntaxin-1A-like, transcript variant X3". The record is from RNAcentral. Lineage: Eukaryota; Metazoa; Arthropoda; Malacostraca; Decapoda; Penaeidae.